Molecule: ribosomal RNA, 301 nt
Filed under: uncultured bacterium
Lineage: Bacteria
Description: partial 16S ribosomal RNA
Rfam family: Bacterial small subunit ribosomal RNA
Source: RNAcentral
CAGUCGCCACGGUAAUACGUAGGUGGCAAGCGUUAUCCGGAAUUAUUGGGCGUAAAGCGCGCGUAGGCGGUUUUUUAAGUCUGAUGUGAAAGCCCACGGCUCAACCGUGGAGGGUCAUUGGAAACUGGAAAACUUGAGUGCAGAAGAGGAAAGUGGAAUUCCAUGUGUAGCGGUGAAAUGCGCAGAGAUAUGGAGGAACACCAGUGGCGAAGGCGACUUUCUGGUCUGUAACUGACGCUGAUGUGCGAAAGCGUGGGGAUCAAACAGGAUUAGAGACCCCGGUAGUCCCUGUCUCUUAUAC